GUGGGCGGGGAGUCUGUCUCGAGGCAGGCCAAUCGGACGCAGAGCAUUGUGCGACUCGUUGUCCCAGGGCGGCGGGCCUCCAGCCAAUCAGAGGACGCAACCCAGGGCGUUCUGGGCGGGGCAUGUGAGCCGCGUUCCUUCCUGGUACUGCAGAGAGCCUAAAACUUGAUGAGGACUGGUGUACUGCUCUGAGCACAGGGCUAGGAACCAGGAAUGUCUGAGUGUUAAUUCUGACUCGGUUGCCGGGGACAAGUCAAGUAUCCUCUUGGACUCAUGUGCCUCCUCUGUAAAAUGGAAUACAAAUCUGCUUUGUACUCCACUCCAGGCAAGAGCCAGUGGAACCAUCCCCUGGUGUAAAGCCAUUUCCUGGGAAGAUAUUCCAAAAUCUUUGGCCUCACCAGCCUCUCAAAGGUCCCAGUUUCCAGGAACAACCAGUUCAGAUGGCUGCUAUUAAUUAAACUGGGAAGAGCAUCUUCAGUCUAAGGGACCAUCCACCAGCUAAGUAAAGAGACUUAAAUUUGCAAAGUAUAUUUCAAGUAAUAAAACAGGGAUUUAUUUCACAUUGUUGCCAGUUAGUUCUGCACAAUGAGGUGUUUAAUUAGAACAGGGGUAGGCAACCUUUCAGAAGUGGUGUGCCGAGUCUUCAUUUAUUCACUCUGAUUUAAGGUUUUGCGUGCCAGUCAUACAUUUUAACGUUUUUAGAAGGUCUCUUUCUAUAAG
Trachemys scripta elegans is the source of this 720-nucleotide long non-coding RNA. RefSeq lists it as uncharacterized. The record is from RefSeq and is a predicted model, not a curated record. The transcript is spliced from 3 exons. NCBI's taxonomy places the organism in Eukaryota, Metazoa, Chordata, Testudines, Emydidae.